GUCGAGAAUCUUCCGCAAUGGGCGCAAGCCUGACGGAGCGACGCCGCGUGGAGGACGAAGGCCUUCGGGUUGUAAACUCCUGUCACGAGUUAAGAAGGAUGCGCGACGAACAGUGGUGCAUCUUGACGUAAGCUCGAGAGGAAGCACUGGCUAACUCUGUGCCAGCAGCCGCGGUAAUACAGAGAGUGCGAACGUUGUUCGGAAUCACUGGGCUUAAAGCGCACGUAGGCGGCAUCGUAAGUGUCUGGUGAAAUCCCACGGCUCACCCGUGGAACGGCCGGGCAUACUGCGGUGCUCGAGUGUGGUAGGGGAGAGCGGAACUCCUGGUGGAGCGGUGAAAUGCGUAGAUAUCAGGAGGAACACCGGUGGCGAAGGCGGCUCUCUGGUCCACAACUGACGCUGAGGUGCGAAAGCUAGGGGAGCAAACGGGAUUAGAAACCCGGGUAGUCC
RNAcentral lists this ribosomal RNA (450 nucleotides) under uncultured bacterium. Its description in RNAcentral is "bacterial SSU rRNA". It matches the Rfam family "Bacterial small subunit ribosomal RNA", at positions 354 to 796 of the family's 1533-position model. The record is from RNAcentral.